GGAGGAGUUGAGGCGCCUUGAAUUUUCCUUCGCGAGUUUGGAGACCAGCCGAUUUUUCAUGAAGCAAGCAAGGGCCGCGGUCCCGGAUCCUGCAACAUAUACCUCAUUUUCUCCAGGCCUCUCCACUUGCCCGAGCUCUCAGCCACCAGGAGACAGACGGAAGGGGCUUCUGGGCUGUGUUGGGAGCGGGCAUUGUCCCCUACCCACUCCUGCACAGUUUCCCAAAGUCCAGCGACCUCCGACCCUCCUUGGGGAAAAAAAUACCAGUACCCAGACACCUCUGCACCCUGUUAUAUGACUGGGCUUGCUUCAGGAAUAUCUUACAAAGAAGAAGAAGGAGGAGGAACGGCUUGGAGUCAUGUUUACAUCUAGUUCUACUGAUCCGUUCACAUCUGGAGAGUUUAUUUAUAACUCCCUCUAUAACUCUCUGUUUGGAGGC
Homo sapiens (human) is the source of this 439-nucleotide long non-coding RNA. NCBI's taxonomy places the organism in Eukaryota, Metazoa, Chordata, Mammalia, Primates, Hominidae. The record is from Ensembl.